GCGUUUUUAGCUCAGAUGGAUAGAGCAACGGCUUCCUAAGCUGUAGGUCGCAGGUUCGAGUCCUGCAUGGCGCACCA
Molecule: transfer RNA, 77 nt
Filed under: Sulfuricurvum sp.
Lineage: Bacteria; Pseudomonadati; Campylobacterota; Epsilonproteobacteria; Campylobacterales; Sulfurimonadaceae
Description: tRNA-Arg
Rfam family: tRNA
About the family: Transfer RNA (tRNA) molecules are approximately 80 nucleotides in length. Their secondary structure includes four short double-helical elements and three loops (D, anti-codon, and T loops). Further hydrogen bonds mediate the characteristic L-shaped molecular structure. tRNAs have two regions of fundamental functional importance: the anti-codon, which is responsible for specific mRNA codon recognition, and the 3' end, to which the tRNAs corresponding amino acid is attached (by aminoacyl-tRNA synthetases). tRNAs cope with the degeneracy of the genetic code in two manners: having more than one tRNA (with a specific anti-codon) for a particular amino acid; and 'wobble' base-pairing, i.e. permitting non-standard base-pairing at the 3rd anti-codon position.
Source: RNAcentral